This 465-nucleotide ribosomal RNA is filed under the name uncultured bacterium. RNAcentral describes it as "partial 16S ribosomal RNA". It matches the Rfam family "Bacterial small subunit ribosomal RNA", at positions 339 to 795 of the family's 1533-position model. The record is from RNAcentral.
CUACGGGAUGCACCAGUGGGGAAUAUUGGACAAUGGGGGAAACCCUGAUCCAGCAAUGCCGCGUGUGUGAAGAAGGCCUGCGGGUUGUAAAGCACUUUCGGUUGGGAGGACUGCUUCUAGCACUAAUAUUGUUGGAAGUUGACGUUACCUUCAGAAGAAGCACCGGCUAACUCCGUGCCAGCAGCCGCGGUAAUACAGAGGGUGCAAGCGUUAAUCGGAAUUACUGGGCGUAAAGCGCGCGUAGGCGGCUAGAUCAGUCGGGUGUGAAAGCCCCGGGCUUAACCUGGGAACUGCAUCCGAUACUGUCUAGCUUGAGUACAGGAGAGGAGAGUGGAAUUCCACAUGUAGCGGUGAAAUGCGUUGAUAUGUGGAGGAACACCAACGGCGAAGGCAGCUCUCUGGCCUGAUACUGACGCUGAGGUGCGAAAGCGUGGGGAGCAGACAGGAUUAGAUACCCCCGUAGUC